AUAUGACAUCCAAGAGCAUCAGUAGAUCAUCACCCCGACUGUAUGGGACGCCAAAGGCCUGGCCAGGUGCUGCAGAGUAAGCUGCCUUCUCUCUGGAUUUCCUGGGAUCUCCCUCCACUGUUUCCUCAUUCCAGCGCUUCACACAGACCAUCAUCCUCUCGAUUCACAGCAAAACUUAGCAUCUUUGAUUAUGAAGCUUGUUCGGGUGAAAGAGGUGGCUGGAGAGAUGGCUCACCGGUUAAGAGCCCGAGGCUGCUCACGCAAAGAAGCCACAUUCGAUUCUCAGCAUCCA
Long non-coding RNA from Mus musculus (house mouse), 292 nucleotides. RefSeq annotates it as predicted gene, 51550. The transcript is spliced from 3 exons. Lineage: Eukaryota; Metazoa; Chordata; Mammalia; Rodentia; Muridae. The record is from RefSeq and is a predicted model, not a curated record.